GUGGGGAAUAUCGGACAAUGGGCGCAAGCCUGAUCCAGCCAUGCCGCGUGAGUGAUGAAGGCCUUAGGGUUGUAAAGCUCUUUCGUCAGGGAAGAUAAUGACGGUACCUGAAGAAGAAGCCCCGGCUAACUUCGUGCCAGCAGCCGCGGUAAUACGAAGGGGGCUAGCGUUGCUCGGAAUCACUGGGCGUAAAGCGCACGUAGGCGGCUUUCUAAGUCAGGGGUGAAAUCCUGGAGCUCAACUCCAGAACUGCCUUUGAUACUGGAGAGCUUGAGUUCGGGAGAGGUGAGUGGAACUGCGAGUGUAGAGGUGAAAUUCGUAGAUAUUCGCAAGAACACCAGUGGCGAAGGCGGCUCACUGGCCCGAUACUGUCGCUGAGGUGCGAAAGCAUGGGGAGCAAACAGGAUUAGAAACCCGAGUAGUCC
RNAcentral lists this ribosomal RNA (425 nucleotides) under uncultured bacterium. RNAcentral's name for it is "partial 16S ribosomal RNA". It matches the Rfam family "Bacterial small subunit ribosomal RNA", at positions 354 to 796 of the family's 1533-position model. The record is from RNAcentral.